This 590-nucleotide ribosomal RNA is filed under the name uncultured bacterium. Its description in RNAcentral is "partial 16S ribosomal RNA". It matches the Rfam family "Bacterial small subunit ribosomal RNA", at positions 355 to 1375 of the family's 1533-position model. The record is from RNAcentral.
UGGGGAAUUUUGGACAAUGGGCGAAAGCCUGAUCCAGCAAUGCCGCGUGUGUGAAGAAGGCCUUCGGGUUGUAAAGCACUUUUGUCCGGAAAGAAAUCCUUGGCUCUAAUACAGUCGGGGGAUGACGGUACCGGAAGAAUAAGCACCGGCUAACUACGUGCCAGCAGCCGCGGUAAUACGUAGGGUGCAAGCGUUAAUCGGAAUUACUGGGCGUAAAGCGUGCGCAGGCGGUUUGCUAAGACCGAUGUGAAAUCCCCGGGCUCAACCUGGGAACUGCAUUGGUGACUGGCAGGCUAGAGUAUGGCAGAGGGGGGUAGAAUUCCACGUGUAGCAGUGAAAUGCGUAGAGAUGUGGAGGAAUACCGAUGGCGAAGGCAGCCCCCUGGGGCCAAUACUGACGCUCAUGCACGAAAAGCGUGGGGGAGCAAAACAGGAUUAGAUACCCUGGUAGUCCACGCCCUAAACGAUGUCAACUAGUUGUUGGGGGAUUCAUUUCCUUAGUAACGUAGCUAACGCGUGAAGUUGACCGCCUGGGGAGUACGGUCGCAAGAUUAAAACUCAAAGGAAUUGACGGGGUCAUAGCUGUUUCCU